Molecule: ribosomal RNA, 398 nt
Filed under: uncultured bacterium
Lineage: Bacteria
Description: bacterial SSU rRNA
Rfam family: Bacterial small subunit ribosomal RNA
Source: RNAcentral
CCUACGGGGUGCACCAGUGGGGAAUAUUGCACAAUGGGCGCAAGCCUGAUGCAGCCAUGCCGCGUGUAUGAAGAAGGCCUUCGGGUUGUAAAGUACUUUCAGCGAGGAGGAAGGCGUUAAGGUUAAUAACCUUAGCGAUUGACGUUACUCGCAGAAGAAGCACCGGCUAACUCCGUGCCAGCAGCCGCGGUAAUACGGAGGGUGCAAGCGUUAAUCGGAAUUACUGGGCGUAAAGCGCACGCAGGCGGUCUGUCAAGUCGGAUGUGAAAUCCCCGGGCUCAACCUGGGAACUGCAUUCGAAACUGGCAGGCUAGAGUCUUGUAGAGGGGGGUAGAAUUCCAGGUGUAGCGGUGAAAUGCGAAGAGAUCUGGAGGAAUACCGGUGGCGAAGGCGGCCCC